Ornithorhynchus anatinus (platypus) is the source of this 1026-nucleotide long non-coding RNA. RefSeq lists it as uncharacterized. The record is from RefSeq and is a predicted model, not a curated record. The transcript is spliced from 4 exons. Lineage: Eukaryota; Metazoa; Chordata; Mammalia; Monotremata; Ornithorhynchidae.
ACUGCUCUAACUUUAGGAGAAGAAAGGGAGCAGCUGCCUUAGGACCACGUCUUUCCAGGAGUCUGUCCCACUAGCACCCCUUCCCCUACUCCCAUGUUGGAAGGAAAUAUGCAAGAGGAAAUAGGGGCCAAACCCACUCACCAGGGAAGGCCACACUGCUUCUCUGUGAUUGGGACAGCUGAGAGAACAGAUCUUCUGAGACCCAAAGAGAAGAACAAGAUCGACCAGAUUGUUCCAAGCACAUGGUUCAGGAAGGAAAUGUCACAGCAAAAUAUUUUUCCCUAAUUUAGAAGGCUUUUUGAUGGUUGACCUACCCCAAGCCUCAAGCAGAUUGUCAUUGAUGAUCAAACUCCAAAACCAGAAGGAUUUUACCUGCUUGGGAUUUUUAUUUCAAAGAUUCAUGGAGCUACUGCACAAAUCAGAAUUUCCAAGAAAGCAAAGUACAGUAAUGAUCCAGCAGAAGCGGAGGCAGACAGACUCAGUCUGUGAAUGGGGGAUCUCCGCGAAUUCGAAAAGCCCACUUCUAAGGCACGGCCACCAUCUGGCUCCCAGAACUUCAGGCUGAAGCAGAUCCAGUGGGGAUUUUCUUCUUCAUCAGCGGACUUUGUUAUUGAAGAGCCCCAAAACUGGGAAAGGACAAACAAAGGCAUUUCUUGGGCUACAAAGCAAGAUUUGCACAUUCAAAAGCUUUUGGAAAUGCAAACCAUCUGUUUUUUUGUAAAUUUGCAUGCUGGCCAGUGAAAUGAAUUGAAGAAUAACAGAAGGAGUUGGUUUCCAGAACAGCUCUCUCUUUCCCUCUGUGGCUUUGAGGUGUUUAUCAACCGUAUGUCUUUUGGGGCAGGUAGGGUAAUAAAGUGAUUUUUCCCCAUGUUUUUCCUCACUUCACACCUUGUCAGGAGAAAUGUUAAGGGCAACUUUGGGAAGUUGAGACAAUCUCAAAUUUUUGUUAAACACUGAAGUAAUCUGUUUCUUAUUGGAUGCUGUUUUAUAUCAAAGUCAGCAAAGGCACAAGCAGCAUGGCCUAGU